Molecule: ribosomal RNA, 301 nt
Filed under: uncultured bacterium
Lineage: Bacteria
Description: partial 16S ribosomal RNA
Rfam family: Bacterial small subunit ribosomal RNA
Source: RNAcentral
CAGUAGCCGCGGGAACACGUAGGGUGCAAGCGUUAAUCGGAAUUACUGGGCGUAAAGCGUGCGCAGGCGGUUCUAUAAGACAGAUGUGAAAUCCCCGGGCUCAACCUGGGAACUGCAUUUGUGACUGUAGAGCUGGAGUACGGCAGAGGGGGACGGAAUUCCGCGUGUAGCAGUGAAAUGCGUAGAUAUGCGGAGGAACACCGAUGGCGAAGGCAAUCCCCUGGGCCUGUACUGACGCUCAUGCACGAAAGCGUGGGGAGCAAACAGGAUUAGAUACCCCAGUAGUCCCUGUCUCUUAUAC